Molecule: ribosomal RNA, 1383 nt
Filed under: Triticum aestivum (bread wheat)
Lineage: Eukaryota; Viridiplantae; Streptophyta; Magnoliopsida; Poales; Poaceae
Description: partial small subunit ribosomal RNA
Source: RNAcentral
AUGGACAAUCGUGGUCAGGAGAUGCAACGGCAGCACCGCUCACUUCUAGGGAGGAAAGCUGCUCCACAAGAUGGGAAGAUGGCUGCCCCUAACUCAGGCGGAGUGGCUAAACCUGUUCAUCAAGGAGGUCAUAAGCAGACGAGCCAGGUACAUGUGCAAUCUACUGUUCCUGUGGCUACAACCCCUCCUCCUCCUCCCUUACCUGUGGUCCAAGCUCUAGAUCCCAAAUAUAAGGAUAUGAUAUGCUUCAACUGUAGCUGGUCUGGGCACUAUGUGGGUAACUGCGUGGAGCCGAAGAAGUGCUUUAUCUAUGCUGGAGGUCAUAAUGUCAAUAACUGUGCUGCCUGGGCAAAACCUCAGCCCACAACUACUUAUUUUGGUAGUGUUGCGGCUGGUCUAGGGUUCUACCACAUAGAUGUGCCAUUGGCAUCGGAGUCCACCUGGCUUAACUACAGGAACUAUGUUGUCCUCAAGAUUAUCAAAGGUGAGGUUUCUACCUCGGAGUUGCUAAUACAGCUUAAUGGAAUCUUUUGCAAGAACAAAAAAUGGCCUUGGCAGAUUAGGGAUCUGGGGGAUAAGAAAUUCCUUCUUAGGUCCCCCCCUUGGAAAAAUGUGGAUGACUUGAUUGAGUUUCCUGCAUUUGAGCUACCAAUUGAUGGAGUAUCUGCUAAGGUAUGUGAGUGGGAGGGGAUGCUUGAUGAGUUUGGAGUACUGACUGAAGCUUGGGUGCAGAUUGAGGGGAUUCCCCCUAAGUGGUAUGCUUGGAAAGUUUUUGCCCAUAUCACAGCCUGCUUUGGAAUUCUGGUUGAUGUUGAUUGGAAUGGUAUAUUCAAAAGUUUCUAUGAGAACAUUAGAGUGAAGGUUGCAUGUAGAGACCCCAGGAAGAUCCCAUUUGAAAGGCUUUUUGAGAUGAAAAGAAAACUAUAUUUGUUGUUCUUCACAGUGGAAGGUUUUGAACAGAUGGGAGAGGACUCUGAUGGUGAUGACCCUGUGCCAGAUCUGGAAGAUGGGGAAGAAGAGAAUGAAAACAACAGCAGAGAUAGGUCUGGCAAUGAUGAGAUGGAGGAAGAUGAACUAGAGGAGCCCAUAGAUGAACUAGAUAAAGCAAUUUUUCUUGGCAAAAAAGGUUCCUCUGCUAGUACAAGCAAAUCUGUUCCACAAAAAACUGCUUUUGCAGUUGAGUUUCACCCCUUCAAUAUGAUGGAUGAGAUCCAUGAAGAUUUUGUGGAAGAGACCACGGACAAAACCCCUCUGAGAGUGAAUACCAAGGAUAGAAAUGAAGAUCUAGGUCCACAACUAACUGCAAAAAUUCAUGUGUCUACAAGAUCUGCCUCUCUGUCAACACACUUAGAUUACUGCGCUGAUCAGCUGAGUAAAAUUUGA